This 262-nucleotide ribosomal RNA is filed under the name uncultured bacterium. Its description in RNAcentral is "partial 16S ribosomal RNA". It matches the Rfam family "Bacterial small subunit ribosomal RNA", at positions 335 to 616 of the family's 1533-position model. The record is from RNAcentral.
ACUCCUACGGGAGGCAGCAGUGGGAAUCUUGGACAAUGGGGCAACCCGUGAUCCAGCCAUGCCGCGUGAGUGAUGAAGGCCUUAGGGUCGUAAAGCUCUUUCGCCUGUGAAGAUAAUGACGGUAGCAGGUAAAGAAACCCGCGUACAUCCGUGCCAGCAGCCGCGGUAAUACGGAGGGGGUUAGCGUUGUUCGGAAUUACUGGGCGUAAAGCGCACGUAGGCGGAUCGGAAAGUUGGGGGUGAAAUCCCGGGGCUCAACCCC